CACCUACGGGAGGCUGCAGUAACGAAUAUUGGGCAGUGGGCGCAAGCCUGACCCAGCAAUGCCGCGCGCAGGAGGAAGUCCUUCGGGAUGUAAACUACUGUCAGGGACCACCAAGCGAGGGAGGCGAAUAUCCUCCCGAGUUGAGGAAUCCCAGAGGAAGUCACGGCUAACUUCGUGCCAGCAGCCGCGGUAAGACAAAGGUGGCGAGCGUUGCUCGGAAUCGCUGGGGUUAAAGAGCACGUCGUCGGACUGUCAAGCGUUUUGAGAAACCCUUCGGCUUAACCGAGGAAUAGCUUGGCGAACCGGCAGUCUGGGGGCAGGUAGGGGCAAGCGGAAGUCAUGGUGGAGCGAUGGAAUCAGUAGAUAUCGUGACGAACGCCGGAGGCGAAAGCGGGUGACUGGGCCUGUCCUGAUGCUGAGACGCGAAAGCGUAGGGAGCAAACGGGAUUAGAUACCCCGGUAGUCUACGCCGUAAACGAUGCGCACUAGGUUCGAGAGUCUCUGAUAUCUUUCGAGCCGAAAUAAAAACGGUAAGUGCGCCGCCUGGGGAGUACGGCCGCAAGGCUAAAACUCAUGGGUAAAGAGGGGGG
This 590-nucleotide ribosomal RNA is filed under the name uncultured bacterium. RNAcentral describes it as "bacterial SSU rRNA". It matches the Rfam family "Bacterial small subunit ribosomal RNA", at positions 335 to 919 of the family's 1533-position model. The record is from RNAcentral.